AACUGCCAUUUUCGUCCCUGUGGUUUGGUCACUUUGGCCAUUUCAGUCCAUUUAAUGGACUGAAAUGGCCAAAGUGACCAAACCACAGGGACGAAAAUGGCAGUUAAC
RNAcentral lists this microRNA precursor (108 nucleotides) under Helianthus annuus (common sunflower). RNAcentral describes it as "microRNA mir-286". Lineage: Eukaryota; Viridiplantae; Streptophyta; Magnoliopsida; Asterales; Asteraceae. The record is from RNAcentral.